RNAcentral lists this long non-coding RNA (463 nucleotides) under Mus pahari (shrew mouse). RNAcentral's name for it is "predicted gene 13053 (MGP_PahariEiJ_G0033061.1)". The record is from RNAcentral. Lineage: Eukaryota; Metazoa; Chordata; Mammalia; Rodentia; Muridae.
GUCACAUCCACAGUACAACCAGGAGGAAGGAGGAGAGAUAUCCUUUUCACUGAAGAACUCUUCCUGAGUGGGUGGCCCCCAGCCCUCUGCUGCUUGGACCUCAUUGGCCGGAGCUCAGUCAGAUGAAGCAGCUCCCAGGGAAGACUGAGUAAUGCUGUCUGGGUUCCGGGAAGCCCUGGGGAGCUGAGUGCCAGUUUUCUUAGCAUGGGAGAAGGGAAGAGUAGACUUCGGGAAUGGCCUCACUCACUCUCCACAGGAGAAUCCCGGCCAGCGGCCAGCGAGCAACACGACCGACUCUUCUCCAGCCCCCUCCAACUCAGCCUUCCAAGACCUCAGAAUGGAACUGUGUUUGGGGACAGGACCUUUAAAAGGGUGCCUAACCACAGAGAUCUCCUGGGCUAUUGAAAUAGGCACAUGAUACCUUUGGCUCUCAGUUCUCCCAGAUUGUGGUCCAAAAUUCCCU